AGCUUUGCACAGUGGCAGGAUCAUGGGCAAGGAGGUUUAUUAGAGGCACGAUUAUUGCUAAUUGAAAACAAAAAUAAGGGCUCCUGGGUGGCUCAGUCAGUUAAGCGGCUGCCUUUGGCUCAGGUCAUGAUCU
RNAcentral lists this small nuclear RNA (133 nucleotides) under Mustela putorius furo (domestic ferret). RNAcentral describes it as "U4 spliceosomal RNA (ENSMPUG00000020297.1)". Lineage: Eukaryota; Metazoa; Chordata; Mammalia; Carnivora; Mustelidae. The record is from RNAcentral.